UACGUAGGUGGCGAGCGUUGUCCGGAGUUACUGGGCGUAAAGGGCCUGUAGGCGGCCGGACGCGUGUGGUGUGACAGUGCAGGGCUUAACCCUGCAAGGGUGCCACAGACGGUCUGGCUGGAGAGCCUCAGAGGGACAUAGAAUUCCGGGUGGAGCGGUGAAAUGCGUAGAGAUCCGGAGGAAUACCAAAGGCGUAGGCAGUGUCCUGGGGGGCCUCUGACGCUGAGGGGCGAAAGCCAGGGGAGCGAACGGG
RNAcentral lists this ribosomal RNA (253 nucleotides) under uncultured bacterium. RNAcentral describes it as "partial 16S ribosomal RNA". It matches the Rfam family "Bacterial small subunit ribosomal RNA", at positions 524 to 776 of the family's 1533-position model. The record is from RNAcentral.